RNAcentral lists this ribosomal RNA (374 nucleotides) under uncultured organism. Its description in RNAcentral is "bacterial SSU rRNA". It matches the Rfam family "Bacterial small subunit ribosomal RNA", at positions 526 to 896 of the family's 1533-position model. The record is from RNAcentral.
CGGGGGGAGCAAGCGUUGUUCGGAUUUACUGGGCGUAAAGGGCGCGUAGGCGGCCAGCACAAGUCAGUUGUGAAAUCUCCGGGCUUAACUCGGAAAGGUCAACUGAUACUGUGCGGCUAGAGUGCAGAAGGGGCAACUGGAAUUCUCGGUGUAGCGGUGAAAUGCGUAGAUAUCGAGAGGAACACCUGCGGCGAAGGCGGGUUGCUGGGCUGACACUGACGCCGAUGCGCGAAAGCCAGGGGAGCGAACGGGAUUAGAUACCCCGGUAGUCCUGGCCUUAAACGAUGGAUGCUUGGUGUCUGGAGUUUUAUAGUCUCCGGGUGCCGUAGCUAACGCGUUAAGCAUCCCGCCUGGGGAGUACGGUCGCAAGACUG